AUACCCGUGCUGUUAUGCUUCCCUCGGCCUUCAUCGCUGGCGACUGCUCUUUCUCUCUCUUGCUAACGAACGCCACGGGCAUCAGUGAGCAUGGACACAGGGUAACCCCCCUCCACACACACACACACACACACACACAGGUAGCGAGGCGCUCCGGGCUGUGCGUCUUUGCACGCCCUUCUCCUUUCCUCAUCUAGAGUAGACGGAGGUGCUCCGUUGUGCCUUUCUGAUCUCGUUCCCACAUAUAUAUGCAUAUAUAUAUAUAUAUAUAUAUAUACUUUGACUUCUUCGGUGUGCGCGAGUGGGACGGAAGCGUGCCGGUACACGAAACUCCCUCAUCUGCAUACCACUGGCCGCUGCGGUUGCACACCUUCCUCUCGCCCCACAGCGUGCGUGACGGUGUGUCAGGCCUGGGCGCUGCUGCACAUGCUGCUGUUGUCUGCGAGCCGCUUUUCUUAUGGUGUGGUGCUGGUGUCCUCCACAGGCUAGAUUUUGGUGGACUGGUAUCCCUGCCUGCCUGUGUGUGCGUAUCUGCGUUUGGCUGCACUUUCGCGCCAUUCCACACGUCUCCGUUCCUCCUCCACCUCCUCGCUCUAG
This 597-nucleotide unclassified non-coding RNA is filed under the name Leishmania donovani. RNAcentral describes it as "gene:unknown". Lineage: Eukaryota; Euglenozoa; Kinetoplastea; Trypanosomatida; Trypanosomatidae. The record is from RNAcentral.